ACAUCUUUAGCUUAAUGGUUAGAGUCUCGGAUUUCGGACCCGAUUAUGUUGGUUCGAUUCCAACAAGAUGUU
Molecule: transfer RNA, 72 nt
Filed under: Schizophyllum commune
Lineage: Eukaryota; Fungi; Basidiomycota; Agaricomycetes; Agaricales; Schizophyllaceae
Description: tRNA-Arg
Rfam family: tRNA
About the family: Transfer RNA (tRNA) molecules are approximately 80 nucleotides in length. Their secondary structure includes four short double-helical elements and three loops (D, anti-codon, and T loops).
Source: RNAcentral